Molecule: ribosomal RNA, 292 nt
Filed under: uncultured bacterium
Lineage: Bacteria
Also listed under: 2 other names
Description: partial 16S ribosomal RNA
Source: RNAcentral
GGACUACUGGGGUAUCUAAUCCCGUUUGCUACCCUGGCUUUCGUGCCUCAGCGUCAGAUAAGAUCCAGUGAGCCGCUUUCGCCACCGGUGUUCCUUAGGAUAUCAACGCAUUUCACCGCUCCACCCUAAGUUCCGCUCACCUCUAUCUUCCUCGAGCACAGUAGUUUUGGGCGCAAUUCCUCGGUUAAGCCGAGGUAUUUCACACCCAACUUUCUGCACAGCCUACGCACCCUUUAAGCCCAGUGAUUCCGAAUAACGUUUGCAAGGUUCGUCUUACCGCGGCUGCUGGCAC